This 1535-nucleotide ribosomal RNA is filed under the name Klebsiella pneumoniae. RNAcentral's name for it is "bacterial SSU rRNA". It matches the Rfam family "Bacterial small subunit ribosomal RNA". Lineage: Bacteria; Pseudomonadati; Pseudomonadota; Gammaproteobacteria; Enterobacterales; Enterobacteriaceae. The record is from RNAcentral.
UUGAAGAGUUUGAUCAUGGCUCAGAUUGAACGCUGGCGGCAGGCCUAACACAUGCAAGUCGAGCGGUAGCACAGAGAGCUUGCUCUCGGGUGACGAGCGGCGGACGGGUGAGUAAUGUCUGGGAAACUGCCUGAUGGAGGGGGGAUAACUACUGGAAACGGUAGCUAAUACCGCAUAACGUCGCAAGACCAAAGUGGGGGACCUUCGGGCCUCAUGCCAUCAGAUGUGCCCAGAUGGGAUUAGCUAGUAGGUGGGGUAACGGCUCACCUAGGCGACGAUCCCUAGCUGGUCUGAGAGGAUGACCAGCCACACUGGAACUGAGACACGGUCCAGACUCCUACGGGAGGCAGCAGUGGGGAAUAUUGCACAAUGGGCGCAAGCCUGAUGCAGCCAUGCCGCGUGUGUGAAGAAGGCCUUCGGGUUGUAAAGCACUUUCAGCGGGGAGGAAGGCGUUAAGGUUAAUAACCUUGGCGAUUGACGUUACCCGCAGAAGAAGCACCGGCUAACUCCGUGCCAGCAGCCGCGGUAAUACGGAGGGUGCAAGCGUUAAUCGGAAUUACUGGGCGUAAAGCGCACGCAGGCGGUCUGUCAAGUCGGAUGUGAAAUCCCCGGGCUCAACCUGGGAACUGCAUUCGAAACUGGCAGGCUAGAGUCUUGUAGAGGGGGGUAGAAUUCCAGGUGUAGCGGUGAAAUGCGUAGAGAUCUGGAGGAAUACCGGUGGCGAAGGCGGCCCCCUGGACAAAGACUGACGCUCAGGUGCGAAAGCGUGGGGAGCAAACAGGAUUAGAUACCCUGGUAGUCCACGCCGUAAACGAUGUCGAUUUGGAGGUUGUGCCCUUGAGGCGUGGCUUCCGGAGCUAACGCGUUAAAUCGACCGCCUGGGGAGUACGGCCGCAAGGUUAAAACUCAAAUGAAUUGACGGGGGCCCGCACAAGCGGUGGAGCAUGUGGUUUAAUUCGAUGCAACGCGAAGAACCUUACCUUGGUCUUGACAUCCACAGAACUUUCCAGAGAUGGAUUGGUGCCUUCGGGAACUGUGAGACAGGUGCUGCAUGGCUGUCGUCAGCUCGUGUUGUGAAAUGUUGGGUUAAGUCCCGCAACGAGCGCAACCCUUAUCCUUUGUUGCCAGCGGUUCGGCCGGGAACUCAAAGGAGACUGCCAGUGAUAAACUGGAGGAAGGUGGGGAUGACGUCAAGUCAUCAUGGCCCUUACGACCGGGCUACACGUGCUACAAUGGCAUAUACAAAGAGAAGCGACCUCGCGAGAGCAAGCGGACCUCAUAAAGUAUGUCGUAGUCCGGAUUGGAGUCUGCAACUCGACUCCAUGAAGUCGGAAUCGCUAGUAAUCGUAGAUCAGAAUGCUACGGUGAAUACGUUCCCGGGCCUUGUACACACCGCCCGUCACACCAUGGGAGUGGGUUGCAAAAGAAGUAGGUAGCUUAACCUUCGGGAGGGCGCUUACCACUUUGUGAUUCAUGACUGGGGUGAAGUCGUAACAAGGUAACCGUAGGGGAACCUGCGGUUGGAUCACCUCCUU